Podarcis lilfordi (Lilford's wall lizard) is the source of this 151-nucleotide non-coding RNA. Lineage: Eukaryota; Metazoa; Chordata; Lepidosauria; Squamata; Lacertidae. The record is from the annotation of a GenBank genome assembly.
CUAUUGGUUGUUUGCUAGAACCAAUCAUAAAAGAUACACCCAUUUCCUAUUCCCUUUUAUGGGAGACAAAAAGCUAUAUUUCCUUGUAUCCAUAAAUGGCAGACAAGGAAAUAUAGCUUUUUGUCUCCCAUAAAAGGGAAUAGGAAAUGGG